CGAAGGCAGCCUCCUGGGAUAACACUGACGCUCAUGCACGAAAGAGUGGGGAGCAAACAGGAUUAGAUACCCUGGUAGUCCACGCCCUAAACGAUGUCAACUAGCUGUUGGGGCCUUCGGGCCUUGGUAGCGCAGCUAACGCGUGAAGUUGACCGCCUGGGGAGUACGGUCGCAAGAUUAAAACUCAAAGGAAUUGACGGGGACCCGCACAAGCGGUGGAUGAUGUGGAUUAAUUCGAUGCAACGCGAAAAACCUUACCUACCCUUGACAUGUCUGGAAUGCCGAAGAGAUUUGGUAGUGCUCGCAAGAGAACCGGAACACAGGUGCUGCAUGGCUGUCGUCAGCUCGUGUCGUGAGAUGUUGGGUUAAGUCCCGCAACGAGCGCAACCCUUGUCAUUAGUUGCUACGAAAGG
This 413-nucleotide ribosomal RNA is filed under the name Achromobacter sp. Its description in RNAcentral is "bacterial SSU rRNA". It matches the Rfam family "Bacterial small subunit ribosomal RNA", at positions 716 to 1127 of the family's 1533-position model. Lineage: Bacteria; Pseudomonadati; Pseudomonadota; Betaproteobacteria; Burkholderiales; Alcaligenaceae. The record is from RNAcentral.